UACGUAGGUGGCAAGCGUUAUCCGGAUUUAUUGGGCGUAAAGGGAACGCAGCCGGUCUUUUAAGUCUGAUGUGAAAGCCUUCGGCUUAACCGGAGUAGUGCAUUGGAAACUGGGAGACUUGAGUGCAGAAGAGGAGAGUGGAACUCCAUGUGUAGCGGUGAAAUGCGUAGAUAUAUGGAAGAACACCAGUGGCGAAAGCGGCUCUCUGGUCUGUAACUGACGCUGAGGUUCGAAAGCGUGGGUAGCAAACAGG
Molecule: ribosomal RNA, 253 nt
Filed under: uncultured bacterium
Lineage: Bacteria
Description: partial 16S ribosomal RNA
Rfam family: Bacterial small subunit ribosomal RNA
Source: RNAcentral